Bombyx mori (domestic silkworm) is the source of this 9068-nucleotide long non-coding RNA. RefSeq lists it as uncharacterized. The transcript has 4 exons. Lineage: Eukaryota; Metazoa; Arthropoda; Insecta; Lepidoptera; Bombycidae. The record is from RefSeq and is a predicted model, not a curated record.
UGAUAUCUGUAACAAAUAUAAUCUAAAUUCAUUCUCAUUUUACCAAUCAUGUUGUCACUUUUAAACAACAAGUACUUCAAAUAAUUUGGUACUUGAUUUCUGUCUCAUAUAGUGAUUAAUAAGGGUGGCUAUUUUAGAGCUUGAAUUCUAUAACAUCGCAACAAUAACGAUAAUAAAAAGAAUUAACCAUGAGCAAGGAAGGUCAUUUUUACAGCUUUUGAUAAAUAUUGCAAUCAAUAGUCGAAUAAUCAGAAGUCAUUUCUCUAUUAUAAAAAUUCAAGUAUAGUCAGUAAAAUCAUCAUCUACAAGAGAGUCUCAUCAUCAUCUACAAGAGACGUCACAGAAUGCGAGUCCUGCCAUGUUGCGCGCGGUACUUUACGACAAUAACUGCGGGUGACGCUGCAGGGCGAAGCUAGUCUAAAAAAUAGCCUAAGUUACUCCUUAUAUUAUCAGCUACCUAUUAGUGAAAGUCUCAUCAAAAUGGUCCAGCCGUUCCAGAGAUUAGCCGGAACAAACAGACAGACAGACAAAAAUUGUAAAAAAUGUUAUUUUGGUCUAUGUACCGUAUAUAUAUUCAUAUGCAUGUAGUAAAUAGAGGCUAUUUCAAUAUUACAAACAGACACUCCAAUUUUAUUUAUAUGUAUAGAUUCAAUAGGAAACUGAACUGAAAUUUCACCUGCUAUUAUUAUGUAAAAAUAGUUGUCUUAGACAAAAUAUUAUGAAUCUUCUUAAGCCCAUCCUAAGUGGUGAGGUAGGUUGUACAGGAAUAAUGGCAGUCCUAUCCUUCAAAUUGUAAGCGAUAUAUACUUCGCAACACAAAGAGACAUGGCACUCAAGCCCUACUUAUCAACGAGCAAGCAAAUUCAAACUUUAGUUUGAUUUAAUUCACAGUGCAAAUCAUUUAUGAGCAUUUUUUGCAUAUUACUUUACAUAUUCAAUAUUUAAAUAAUACCUACAGCAGAAAUAUGACACUAAACUUGUUACCGGUUUUAUUAUUGACCUAGAAUAUAAUUAAAGCAAUUAGUAGCUGACCUACAAUACAUUCACAUCUUUUAGCUACUUACUUUUAUGUAAGUAUAAGUAUCAAUAAUUUAUUAUAUAAAUAUUAAUUUGCAUAUCACAAAUUCAGGAAUGCGAAGUCAAAUGAAUUAGCACAAAUUUAUUUAAGCUCCAGAUUCGCGAUUACGAAAAGGCGAACAUUAAUUGAAGGAAUGAAAUAUAUUUGCUGUAUAAUAUCAACCUAUUAUCAUUUUUCACUAAGUUUCAUGUUGGACCACAUCAGAGCUCAGUAAUCAGUCAAAAAGUAAAAAAUCAUCAAAAUCAAUUGGUAAGAAACCUUCUUCAAAUAUAUUGCCAACAAUUACUAAAGUAUUAAACGAUACUUGAAUAAACAAUAUGAAUCAUUUAGAAUCUGAGUAUAGCAGGUAUUUCAGUUUUCUCUAUAUUUGUACCCUAUGUAGGUUCCAUGGACAUGGAUCUAUUUUUGCAAGAUACUAUCUGAUUCUGGAAUUACCCCUAUACAGUUUCCUGACAGCUGAGACAUGUCCUUCUUUAAAAAGGUUUGAGGAGAGUCCUCAGAAGUAUGCAGCAGCUUGGCAUUGCUAAUUUCCAUGAGCAACAGUGACUAGUUACCAUCAGGUGGGUCAAUUUGCAUGUCUUCCUGUGAAAAAAUGGUGGAAAAAAAUAUAUUUUUUAAGCUUUUCACUCUAAAUCACAGUGGAGACUGUCAUUAGGCAAGCAGCUCUGAUUGCCAAGCUUUUAUGCUUAAAGUAUGGGAUAAAGUUUUUUUUUUUAAAUGAAUAAGGCUCAUUUUUAAUUAAGGCAGUUUAGUGUUGCUCUAAAGUAUUGUUGGUUUAUAUUAAAUAAUCCUUUAAUACUUCACUAUGAAUUAAACCAGAUCACAUUGUACCAAACUAUCUUUUAGAUGAUUGUUUUAAAUACUUAAACUUUUUAGGAAAUGCUUACAAUUGUUAUCAUUGUCUUGAGGUACUAAAAUAAUUUUCCGCGUUAAUAAGAAAAGUUUUUAAAAACACCUACCUACCUUAGGCCUUAAAAAUAAUAAAUAAGCAUUUUUUUUUAAAUUUCGCUCCAUUCAAUUUAACUCACCAGUUAAAAGUGGUUGCACAAUACCGUUUUGUCGAGCCAUCUGUUUAUCUGCAAUAGAUAUUUCACUCGACAUUUUUUCUUAUACAAAGUAAUUUAGUUUAACACUAACAAGCACGUCAGAACUGUUUAGUAUCUCUACAACAACUAAAACAAGUAAUUUCAUCGUGUGGCGUUGAACAGUACCUCGUUAUCAGCGCGCGAAACUGAGUUUAUAGGAACUUUACUAGAGGAACCUGAAAUGUUACGCAUGCGUAUUUGAAUUUCUAUUGACCAAAGUUAGAGGUCGGACUUGAAGGUCAUUUCAGUUGUUGUACCUACAUUAUCAGCUAUUAAUUACUUAUUUACUACUUGAUUAUUGAUCAGUUAAGUGUAUUACCUAUCUAUGUUAUUUUGAUGUUCAUGACAAAUUUAGCAGUGUGUACUGUGUAACUUAUGAUCGAUCGACUCAAAAGUCAAAAAACGCAUUUCCCUCCCAAUUCUCGCAAUUUGUGAUAGUCUGUGCUCUCAAAACUACACAAACAUUCUUGGACUUUUUGGCGGGAACGCGAGGAGUGAAGUUGUGUGAUUUGUUUUAUUUUGUCUAUUUAGUGUUUCUUCGGGUUUAAAUGUGUAAUAAUGGUGGUUUAUUAACUGUUUAAUAUCUGUGAAAGUGCACAAAUGUGGAAAAAUGAAACAAAGCCGCUCAUCAUCAUCACAUCUUAUCUCAUUUCAUUUUAUGUCAUGUUUCAUAUUAAUUAACUUCAUUUCUUUUUACUUCUUAUCAUUGUUCAUAUAAAUAUUAAUAUAUAAAAGAUUAGGUUGUUUGGUAUGACACUUUUGCCUUUUCAGUUGGAAAAUAAAACUACUACUUGGUGAUAACUUUGGCAUCUGUAAUGAUGUUCAGCUUCUAUGAAGGUGCACAAAUGUGGGAAAAUAAAACAAAGCCGUUGGACGUCUUCUCAGGAUUUUCCAAAAAUUCCACUAAAAGAGUCUCACUCAGUAAAUGACCACCAUUUCACUGAGAUUAUUUCAUCUCAUAUCAUCUCAUCUCAUUUAAUUUGACUUCAUAUUAUCAUUUUACAUAUUAAAAAAAUAUAUAAAAGAUGAAGCUGUAUGAUAUGCCACACACUUGCCUUUCCAAUGGGGUUGGCAACUGUCAAAGUGGCGCUGUUGUGCAUUGAGCAUUGUUCCCAUAACAUUCAAUAUUUGUAUUGGAAUUUUUGAUUAAAAAUUAUUUUAAACACAAUGACGCGUUGUUUUGUGCCAAUAUGCUCAGAAAUUGGAGUACAUCAAUUCCGAAGGACAAGAAAAUUGGAAGACUGUGGUUAAAGGCCAUUUGACGCGAAAAAAGUACUCCCACAAAAAGUUCGAGGUUAUGUCGUAAACACUGUGGAAUCUGGCUAUGAAAACAUUAGUAAAUACACAGGUGUCAAACAUUAACAUAAAUAUCUGAAGAAAGGUGCUGUACCAUCUAUAUUUUCAUGGAAUAUGAAACCAGUUUCUGAAGAAACAAAAAGUAGAGAACAAAGGUUACAAACUCGUAACCUUAAAAAACAGCUUUUUAGCCUGCCCAACACUUCCCAAUACUAUGAAGAUAUAGUACCCCUUGAAGAACACAGCAAUGUGCAUUUUGAUUCAAAUGUCUCUCAAGAAAUUCUAAUAGAAAAUAAUAACUCUAGUAUAGAUGAAACAAUUACAAGGCAUCAUAUUACUAUUGGAACUCAAACAUCCAAUAUAUUAAAAUUGUUCUCUACAGAGCUAUUACUUGCAGACGAUGAGACAGUGCAAUACUACACCGGGUUGGAAACAGCAUCUAAGUUUUCAUUAGUUUUAAUCACACUUUUGCCAAUGUCAAAUGAUAUAAGGUAUCGCUGGAGUAGAGUGGUCGGCAUAUCAAUAGAAGAUCAAUUUUUAAUGUUACUAAUUAAGCUUAGAAGAAACAACAGAUUUUGAAUUAAGUAAAAUUUUCGGUGUAAGUAAAACUGAAGUGUCUAAUAUUGUUGUAACAUGAAUAAAUUUUGUCAGUGAUAUCUAGAGCCUAAUUGACAUUUGGCCUAUCCGCAGCUUAGUAAAUUAUUAUAUGCCUAAUUGUUUUAGAACACAUUAUCCCUCCACAAGGGUGAUUAUAGACAGGACUAAAAUAGGCAUACAGAAGCCUAGUCAACCUGAUGCUCAAAAAGCGUCAUUUAGUUCUUAUAAACAUAAAAAUACCUUGAAAUUUUUGGUAGGAGCUUCACCAGGGGGAUUAUUAUCAUAUGUUUCAAACGGCUACGCUGGUUCUGCAAGUGAUCGACAGGUAGUAGAACGAAGUAAGCUGCUGCAGAUUUGUGAUUCUAGAGAUAGUAUUAUGGCAGACAGAGGUUUUAAUAUACAGGAUCUGUUUGCCUCUAAGGAAUUAGUAUAAAUAUCCCAUCUUUUUUAAAAGGUAAGUCACAAAUCCCAGGUGUUCAGUUAAAGAUAGAUCAAAAAUUUGCUAGUCAGAGGGUUCACAUAGAAUGAUUAAUUUCAUAUGUGUAAUGUUAUAUAAUUUUAGAGAAGGAAUUGUCAAUAAAAUAAUUAAAAAUAUUCCUGAUUUUUUAUUUCGACAAGUGUGUAUAGUUAUAAUACAGAUAUUUUUCAUACAAUGCUUCUUUGAAAAUAUUUUCACAAAAGAUAUCUAAUUUAUUUAUCAUAUUAUUUAUAAAAUUAUUGUCUUUUUCAACAUAAAUCACUUUGAUGUCCUUGUAGGUGUAAAUGACCAAGUUGCAGUAUGUUAUAUGCAGUAUGUAUUUGAUAAUAAUAUGGGCAGGUUUUUUUAGAGACAAUAUCCCGUUACAUAGUUCUAAGUAAGGCACCGUUGUUAUAUUUAUUUCAUGUUUUCUGCUAGCGUAUGGAUAUUUCACUUCAAUUAUAGUUUCUUCGCCCAACACACCAUCAGGAGAUGCAGCAAGAUAUGGGCGCUCUUGGCUAAUGACAAUGCCACAUGGCUCCACUAGCAAAUCAUAUAUAUUAGCAUAUUUUGCUAGAGCAAUUUUUUCAUUUUGUUUCAAAAUUAAAAUUUUGGUCAUAUAGCUCUAAUCUGAAAAAAGUAAAAUAAUAUAUUAGUUGGUAGGUAAUGUGUAAUAUGAGCAAUUCUUUUUGCACAUGCUACAAGGAAUAAAGUUCCUAAGGUACACAAUUUAAUAUUAUUAUUAUAAUAGCUACCGGAAACAGUUUGAGAGAAGUUUUCUAAGUUAAAAUAAAACAUCAACAUUGUACUUUUCGACAAAAUCCACUUUUUUUUCUCGUAAAGAUGCAUCACGUUUUCUCAACUCCUCCUUUAAUUCUUUAACUAUCCAGUAGGAAUACAUGUUGUAAAACUGUUUAGCACUACUUAGAAAGUAAUAAGAACCGUAUCAAAGUCACAAAAUGCCGAAAUAUCACGAACGCAAAACACACAAAAUGGCGGCUCUCUGUGACAAGGGAACAAGCUACGCUGGCGACAUCUGAGAAAAGCUUUAACCGGCCAACCCAAUGCCAACCCCAUUGGAAAAAUAAAACUACUACUCCGACUCCGUACUAGACAUGUGUAAGUAAUGCGAGUGAUAUUACUCGGGUAAUAUUACUCUACGAUGUAAUGCAACAUCACACAUUACGCGAAGGAAACAAACAUCACACUAUCACCCAACAUGUUUCUUUCUUUGUCGUGUAAUGUUGCUUAAUACACGAACGGAACCGAGCGAGCGAGACAGACCGAUCGACGCAAUAUAAAUGAGCAAGCGACACGGAAUUAUUCCUAGUGAUUUUGAACCGUAUGUCCUGGCCGCUAGGUACAUUUUUAUACCUAUGGUACGUCUGAAUUUUAAUAUAGGUAUUUGUGUUUAUAUUUUUCAUGCGGCCAGCCGGUAGCUCCCCGCAAGUACUUACUUAAUUUUUUAUUCGCAACUUUUGUAAAAUCGCUAGUCGCUCGUAAUUGUUUAGUAAUAUUUCAUAUUAAUUUUUGUGUUUGAUUUGAAUUACUUAAGCACUUGUUUGAAGAUAGUUUCAUUAUUUGUUUUAAUGCGUGUUUAAUAAGUGAAAGAAAUAACGCCGUCUAAAUGAAAGUACAGUCCUCCUUGGAUGCACUUUGAGGAUAUCGCGCCGAAACAAUGCAUCUACUGCUCUCGUAUAUUAACAUUAUUGUCGAGCUCAAUUUGCAGUCUAAGUCGCCAUAUGAAAUCCGUUCAUCCCACAAUAAAUUAUAUUAAGUAAAAAAUAAAAUUAUUAUAUUAUUAAGUAAGUCAAUCUCUGUCAAGUAAUAUAACAGUGUAUUACAAUACAAAGUUCAUACUUUGUAUUGUAAUACACUACUGUAAUGUCACACCCGAAUCAUUACCUAAGUGAUGUGUAUCAACACAUCACUUAAGUAAUGAUUCGGGUGUAUAGAUACAAUGUAUUCGUCGUCACAGUAUCUAUUGAACGCACCGAGUAAUGUUAAGAGUGAUGUGUAAUGUUUUCGAGUAAUAUCACCUGUCUGUAAAAGUGAUGUCAUAUCACAUUACAUUGGCAAGUGAUGUUUUGCGCAAGUCUACUCCGUACCACGAGUCACGAGAGGUGCCUGAAGUUAGCCCCUCAAAAAAAAAUUUCUUUCCUGUUUUCUACUUAUUUUCUAUUAAUUCGUUUGCUCAUCAUUUGUUCUUGAUUGUUCACUGUUAAUAAUUGUUUGUUCUGCAUUUAUUUAUUUUAAAAAAAUUAUUAAAAAUAUAUGUACAAGUUAGCCCCCCGAUUGCAAUUUUUAAUAUUUUUUCGUCAUUAAUGACUCGUAAAUAUUCAUUUUCGAUUGUUCUUAUAUAAAAUACGUUUGUUCUCUUUCGAAAUUACUCAUUUUUUGUUUAAUUAACUAUUUGUAUUAGUUGAAUAAAUGUAUGCAAAAUAUGUGUACUGCGCAUGCGUCAACUAUAAUGCCUCAACUUUCUACGCUGUUUUAAUCGUGAAAAAAAAAACAAUUAUAAAUCCUGAAGGAUCAAUUGCUAUUGGAAGCUGUGCAAACUAGAAUAAAUUCUAAUAAAGAAUAAGAAUAAACUUUGAAGAGAAGAAGAAAAGAGCUUUCUUCGAAGCUCAAUUCUACAAGGUAUUCAAUCAGACAGCUAUCUAUCUCUGUCUUUCCUGUAUGAAAUGUUGGUAUGUCGAAAUCUUGGAUAAAUCCAGCAAAGCUAAAUAAAGUAUUUACCUAAAAAAUAUGUUUAUGCUUAAAGUCACGUGUUUGUUAUUCGAAAAUAUUAACCAAUUUUUCAAUCGAAGAUUAAAACAACAUUAAUACUGAGAAUGAAUAUUUAUUUAUAAAAUACACAUAUAUGUUUUAACCACAAAUUUUGCACGAUAAUUUAAAUUAAUAUUCAUUAAUAUUAAUUUAAAUAAAUAUUAAUUAAUCUUCUUCUAUAACUCAUAGUCAACUGUUGAUCCUUCUGUUGCUGGUGCAUUUGACUCAUCACUGUCAAAUUUGUCCUCAGGAACAACAGUUUUCUUUUUGCUGGUUCUGAUUGUUUACUUGUACUUGCUUCAGAUAUAUUAAGGGGUGAUGUGGCAAUACACACUUGCCUUGCCUUUGUGUUCCUGUGCUGGAGCUACUUGGAUAGCUUUGUCAUUACUACACCUACUUUCAAGUGGCUGGACAUCUGGAAAUAUGAAAUAAUGUUAGCAAUUUCUAGGUCUGUCUGAGAAAACCGUAUCAACAAUAAUACAAGCAGGAAAGACUGCUGCAAGUACUUCAAAAAAGAUUGUCACGCCAGGGAAGAGUCAUCCACGUUCAAAUAAGAUAAAAUAAUUAUAGAUGAUUUUGAUAUUUGUGCUAUUCGCCAUAAAAUUCACCAAUUUUAUGCUGUAAAACAGGAACUGCCGACAUUAAACAAAUUACUUGCAGUGUUGAAACAAGACAUUCGAAUCGAACCACUGAAAAAGGACCUGUCAUAUUCGUAAAUGAGACUUAUAUCCACAGCACAUACCAUUCUAGAAGUUGUUGGCAAAGUGAGGAAGAGUCAGGACUUUUCACUUCAGAUUCUGUUGGGAGUAGAUGGAUAAUCGCACAUGCUGGUAUAGAAAAUGGUUUUAUUAGUAAUGCUUUACUUAUUUUUAAAUCUCAAAGUCUUCUGAUUACCAUAAUGACAUGAAUUCAACUAAUUUCCUCAAGUGGAUGAAUGAAAAAUUUAUUCCAAAUUUGCCAGCAAGGUCUCAUGUGGUUAUGGAUAAUGCUCCAUACCACUGUACCCAAAUAAAUAAAGCUCCAACCAUGUUGGGAGUAGAUGGAUAAUCGCACAUGCUGGUACAGAAAAUGGUUUUAUUAGUAAUGCUUUACUUAUUUUUAAAUCUCAAUCAAAGUCUUCUGAUUACCAUGAUGACAUGAAUUCAACCAAUUUCUUCAAGUGGAUGAAUGAAAAAUUAAUUCCAAAUUUGCCAGCAAGGUCUCAUGUGGUUUUGGAUAAAGCUCCAUACCACUGUACCCAAAUAAAUAAAGCUCCAACCAUUUCAAUUUUAAAAGACGAAAUGCGUAAGUGGUUGCGAGAAAGGGGUAUUUAUUUUGAAGAGAGCUGGACGAAACCCGUAUUAUAUAAACAUAAAACAAAAUAAAGGACCACCGGCUACUUAUACUGUAAAUGAACUUUUAAAAAGUCACAAUCACGAAGUUUUAAAACUUCCAUCGUAUCAUUGCGAUCUAAACCCAAUUGAAAAGAAAUGGAGCCUUGUUAAAAGACGUGUGGCAGAGAAAAAUUUGGAACAAAACCCAAAAAACAUUGUGAAAGAUACAGAAGAUGUGUUUGCAAGUGUAACGCCAGAUUGGGCUAUUCAAUAUAAGCAUGUGGAGCAUCUAGAAGAUGAAUAUUUCAAAAACGUGAUAGAUGAAGAAAUGGACCGAUUUAUAAUAUUUGCAGCAAGUGAUAGCGAAACAGAAUCUGAUAAUGAUAGUGAUAUGAAUGUAGAUGAUCCGAAUAGUCCUUGCAGUAUGGAAUAACUCCAAUAGAUGACUAUAAUUAUACAAUUAAAAUUUAAAA